ACGAGAAAGUGGAGCAAUCCAUGAGUAAAGUGGCGACCGGGUGAGUAACACGUGACUAACCUACCCUUGAGUGGGGGAUAACCUCGGGAAACCGGGGCUAAUACCGCAUAACAUCUUUGGAUCGGAAGAACUGGAGAUCAAAGGAGCAAUUCGCUUAAGGAGGGGGUCGCGGCUGAUUAGCUAGUUGGCGGGGUAACGGCCCACCAAGGCUUUGAUCGGUAGCCGGCCUGAGAGGGCGCACGGCCACACUGGAACUGAAACACGGUCCAGACUCCUACGGGAGGCAGCAGUGGGGAAUUUUGCGCAAUGGGGGAAACCCUGACGCAGCAACGCCGCGUGGAGGAUGAAGUCCCUUGGGACGUAAACUCCUUUCGACCGGGACGAUAAUGACGGUACCGGUGGAAGAAGCCCCGGCUAACUUCGUGCCAGCAGCCGCGGUAAUACGAGGGGGGCAAGCGUUGUUCGGAAUUAUUGGGCGUAAAGGGCGCGUAGGCGGUGCGGUAAGUCACCUGUGAAAUCUCCGGGCUUAACUCGGAGCCUGCAGGCGAAACUGCCGUGCUUGAGGGUGGGAGAGGUGCGUGGAAUUCUCGGUGUAGCGGUGAAAUGCGUAGAUAUCGGGAGGAACACCUGUGGCGAAAGCGGCGCACUGGACCAUAACUGACGCUGAGGCGCGAAAGCUAGGGGAGCAAACAGGAUUAGAUACCCUGGUAGUCCUAGCCCUAAACGAUGGAU
RNAcentral lists this ribosomal RNA (732 nucleotides) under uncultured bacterium. Its description in RNAcentral is "bacterial SSU rRNA". It matches the Rfam family "Bacterial small subunit ribosomal RNA", at positions 66 to 814 of the family's 1533-position model. The record is from RNAcentral.